RNAcentral lists this long non-coding RNA (1703 nucleotides) under Cyanistes caeruleus (blue tit). RNAcentral's name for it is "lncRNA (ENSCCEG00000003204.1)". Lineage: Eukaryota; Metazoa; Chordata; Aves; Passeriformes; Paridae. The record is from RNAcentral.
AUCUAGUUCCAUCCGGAAAGAUGCCAAAAUUCAACGUUAUGAUCCUUCCCAGUCCCCAGCCGACUGCCCAUCGCGGGGGUCAAAGGCGGCGUGCACAGCACUUUGAAUCCAAGCAGCCAGCUCUAAACUAUCAUUAAUACAAAUAUUGUUUCUUUCCCACUUUUUAAAUUAUUAUUAUUAUUAUUUUACCGUGGAAACACAACUCUCUAGUUUUCAGUCCCGGGUGGGUGCUUGCUUUCCAUUCCCUCCCCAGUCAGCGGCGCUCCGUGCCGGGCCGUGGGGGUGCGCUGCGGGGCCCGUCCNCUCCCCUGCCCCGCGGGGCUGUCCCGGCUCGCUCGGGGCCGCGCUCCCGGCCCGCGGGGCUCGCACCUGGCGGGGCUCACCGGGACCGGGGCGCACCGGGACCGGCGUCUGCUCUUACAGGGUUGAGCGAGAAGCAAACAGCUGGAGCACAGUGACGCCGUUCCCACCGUACGUGAAAACUGCCGCACUCGGGCUUUCCUUAGUCAUACUUCCCGGUUUUAAGAAGAGGAGGAGAGUAGCCAUAGUGUCUGUUUGAACUUGAGUCUCCUGAGAUUUCCAAGCAGCUGGAAGAAACUGGUGACAACUCCUGCUGCCCAUUAGUUUCUGAAGAGCAGAACUGAAACUGGCAGGAACAUUGGUAGCUGUACACUGCUAUGUUUUGGAUAAAUGAGAAGAGAAAACAAAAGCAACCUUUGUAUACAUCAUCUUUGAGACCAAGAAAGACUAGAAACUAAAAAAAGAUCAGAGAAUUAUGAUUUGCAUCAAGUUAUUUAUGCUUACAAAUCAUGAUUCAUUGUGGAAAGUGUCUCAUUCACAGCUUGGAAGUAUGUAGACAGGUUGGGUUUUCGGGGUUUGAUUUUUAAACUUCGUUGUAUUUAAUCUGACCAGCUGGGCACUUCAUACCUUUAUAUAUAUAUAUAUAUAUAUAUAUAUAUAUAGGUAUAGACAGAUAGAUAUAGAUAUGGAUAGAUAUAGAUAGCUAGAUAUAGAUAUACAGAUAUACAAAGUUCCCCUUUUUUACUGUGCUAAAUUAAGGAUGCGGCCACUGUAAAAUAAUUUUUACCUAAUACGUUCUUCUAAUCCUGGAUGCAAAACAACUAGUUAAAGUUCCUAUUAUUUUUAUCACAUUCUGCAAUACAUGAGCAUGUUGUAUAUGUAAUUUAAACUGGUUUGUGUUUCAAGAAUGGAAAAUCUGGUAUUCCAUUGUGAUCCACAGCUUUCAGUCUGACUUUUCAGUCAAGGAUGCUGGGAUUAAUGAAUGUAUUAAUUAGCAAAAUCUUAGUGAAGAGGUAUAUUUCUUCAUCCUCCUAAAUGUGGCAGUCUUGAGAAGGUAUCUCUUUAAAGGAGAAAUUCUAAGACAGUGGUGAUUCAUAACAAUUUCAAGUAACAUAAUUUGUAUGGGAAUUUAGGAAACCUAAAUAGGCAUAUUGUAGUAAAAACAUGAGAUUGCACAGCUGCUGUACUUCACCUUUUUUGAAAUUUAUUUUCAUUGUCUGAAGACAAGAAUUAAAAUUUUUCUAUAGUCACACUGUUCUAUGGAUCUUCAAAAAACAGGUAAUGAUUCUUACAGACCGUUUUUCCCAUUUAAAAAAUGUUCCUGCAUAUUGUGUUAUGAUUUAUUAUCUCUUAAGUAUGUAUCAUUAAAUAAAAGCAAUCAGUCCUUUGUAUUCCUACUAGUU